UGAAAGGGCCGUUGUUUCAGGAGUGCGAGCUGCAUUGCAAGGUGUCCUGGCACCUACACCUGCUGCUGCAAAUCUGGUUAACACAUCAUCACCAUCCACAAGUUCUGCCGCUUCACACAGACCGGUCAACACUCUGCCGCCACCCAUAGCAUCCACAAGUUCAGCCACAUCUGCAGGGGCUGGCACAUCCCAGAGAUUGGUUCCUUUUCCAUCAUAUUUUCAAUCAAGAAGAGGUCGAUCAGGAUAUCAGCAAAGAAAAAACGUGAAAACGUUUACAAAAGACGUUGUAUGUUUGCCAUUUUCUCCAAGGGAAUCAGUUUUCGUCAUACCUAGAGGAGAAAACAGGAGUCGCUUGGCUCAAGCUGGUCUAAUUGGAAAAAUUUCCUUUACCACCGAGUGGUCUGAAGAUCAGCUCAGAGAAGAAAUUUCUGCUAUCUUCAGAGGAUCAUUUGGCAUCUCCGAGCAUGAUGUUUUCCCUUUUCAGUUCUUGAGCACAAUAAAAGGGUGCAAAAAAUUAAUGAAGCCCAAUGUCACACCCAACUUUCCCUGGGGGGGGAAAGAAGUUUCUUCUGUUUGCUCAAAUACCUGUCUUUACAUUAUGGCUGAAAUGGAAUUGCCAACACAGGUGAGCUUGAUAGUGAUAGUACUGGUAAACCUUUUUCAUGUAAUACUAUUUGCAUGCGAUUUUUGUUAAAAUUAUUUAAAUAUGAACAUAACUAAGCACAGCAUCAUCUUUACAUGUGACACUUUUUAUUGUUGUAAAUUGUUUUUGCAAUCACAAAUUAACUUUGAACAUUUAGUCAUGCUUGUUAUGUCUAAAUUACAAUUUAUAUGCUUUUAAAAUUGCUUUCUUACACAAAAUUUCCACAUCUUAUCAUUCAGCACAGAGUUUUUGACACGGAUGACAGUGACUUUGAAAGUCCAACUUUUCAGAGGAGAGAUCUUGAGACAUUGGAGCAAUCUAAUGUUGACGGUCAAUAUGAACCAAUGGAGGCAGAUGCCAGAAAUCGAGAACAUGAGACCGAAC
Oryzias latipes (Japanese medaka) is the source of this 1027-nucleotide non-coding RNA. Lineage: Eukaryota; Metazoa; Chordata; Actinopteri; Beloniformes; Adrianichthyidae. The record is from RefSeq and is a predicted model, not a curated record.